This 449-nucleotide ribosomal RNA is filed under the name uncultured bacterium. RNAcentral describes it as "partial 16S ribosomal RNA". It matches the Rfam family "Bacterial small subunit ribosomal RNA", at positions 29 to 523 of the family's 1533-position model. The record is from RNAcentral.
AACGAACGCUGGCGGCAGGCUUAACACAUGCAAGUCGAACGCAUCCUUCGGGGUGAGUGGCAGACGGGUGAGUAACGCGUGGGAACGUGCCCUUCAGUUCGGGAUAACCCAGGGAAACUUGGGCUAAUACCGGAUACGUGCGAGAGCAGAAAGAUUUAUCGCUGAAGGAUCGGCCCGCGUCUGAUUAGCUAGUUUGUGGGGUAAUGGCCCACCAAGGCGACGAUCAGUAGCUGGUCUGAGAGGAUGAUCAGCCACAUUGGCACUGAGACACGGCCCAAACUCCUACGGGAGGCAGCAGUGGGGAAUAUUGGACAAUGGGCGCAAGCCUGAUCCAGCCAUGCCGCGUGAGUGAUGAAGGCCUUAGGGUUGUAAAGCUCUUUCGUCCGGGACGAUAAUGACGGUACCGGAAGAAGAAGCCCCGGCUAACUUCGUGCCAGCAGCCGCGGUAA